GAUGAAGAACGUAGCGAAAUGCGAUAAGUAGUGUGAAUUGCAGAAUUCAGUGAAUCAUCGAAUCUUUGAACGCACAUUGCGCCUCCUGGUAUUCCGGGAGGCAUGCCUGUUCGAGCGUCAUUAAAAUCACUCAAGCUUAGGUUUACCUAUUGCUUGGUCUUGGAGAUAGAAGCCAAUUUAUUGGAAUCCUCUUCGAAAUUCAAUGGCGAAGACCCUUGCUCUCCCAAGUGUAGUAAUAACUUAUGUCACUGAAGGAAGCGAGAAAUCUUCUGCCGUAACCCCCAUAUUUUCUAUGAUUGACCUCGGAUCAGGUAGGGAUACCCGCUGAACUUAAGCAUAUCAAUAAGCGGAGGA
RNAcentral lists this unclassified non-coding RNA (354 nucleotides) under soil metagenome. RNAcentral's name for it is "partial contains 5.8S ribosomal RNA, internal transcribed spacer 2, and large subunit ribosomal RNA". The stretch from base 1 to 120 matches the Rfam family "5.8S ribosomal RNA", at positions 35 to 154 of the family's 154-position model. The record is from RNAcentral.